This 366-nucleotide ribosomal RNA is filed under the name uncultured organism. Its description in RNAcentral is "bacterial SSU rRNA". It matches the Rfam family "Bacterial small subunit ribosomal RNA", at positions 526 to 896 of the family's 1533-position model. The record is from RNAcentral.
CGGAGGAUCCAAGCGUUAUCCGGAAUCAUUGGGUUUAAAGGGUCCGUAGGCGGGUUUAUAAGUCAGUGGUGAAAGCCCAUCGCUCAACGAUGGAACGGCCAUUGAUACUGUAGAUCUUGAAUUAUUAGGAAGUAACUAGAAUAUGUAGUGUAGCGGUGAAAUGCUUAGAGAUUACAUGGAAUACCAAUUGCGAAGGCAGGUUACUACUAAUGGAUUGACGCUGAUGGACGAAAGCGUGGGUAGCGAACAGGAUUAGAUACCCUGGUAGUCCACGCCGUAAACGAUCGGAUACUAGCUGUUCGGAGCAAUCUGAGUGGCUAAGCGAAAAGUGAUAAGUAUCCCACCUGGGGAUACGUUCGCAAGAUG